RNAcentral lists this ribosomal RNA (253 nucleotides) under uncultured bacterium. Its description in RNAcentral is "partial 16S ribosomal RNA". It matches the Rfam family "Bacterial small subunit ribosomal RNA", at positions 524 to 776 of the family's 1533-position model. The record is from RNAcentral.
UACGUAGGUGGCAAGCGUUGUCCGGAUUUACUGGGUGUAAAGGGCGUGCAGCCGGGCUGACAAGUCAGAUGUGAAAUCCCGCGGCUCAACCGCGGAACUGCAUUUGAAACUGUCAGUCUUGAGUACCGGAGAGGUCAUCGGAAUUCCUUGUGUAGCGGUGAAAUGCGUAGAUAUAAGGAAGAACACCAGUGGCGAAGGCGGCUUACUGGACUGUAACUGACGUUGAGGCUCGAAAGCGUGGGGAGCAAACAGG